RNAcentral lists this ribosomal RNA (254 nucleotides) under uncultured bacterium. RNAcentral's name for it is "partial 16S ribosomal RNA". It matches the Rfam family "Bacterial small subunit ribosomal RNA", at positions 524 to 776 of the family's 1533-position model. The record is from RNAcentral.
UACGUAGGGGCCUAGCGUUGUCCGGAAUUAUUGGGCGUAAAGAGCUCGUAGGCGGUUCGGCAAGUCGGAUGUGAAAUCUCCACGCUCAACGUGGAGGGGCCAUUCGAAACUGCCGUGACUCGAGUCCGGUAGGGGAGUGUGGAAUUCCCGGUGUAGCGGUGAAAUGCGCAGAUAUCGGGAGGAACAUCAGUAGCGAAGGCGGCACUCUGGGCCGGUACUGACGCUGAGGAGCGAAAGCGUGGGGAGCGAACAGG